UACGUAGGGUGCAAGCGUUGUCCGGAAUUAUUGGGCGUAAAGAGCUCGUAGGCGGUUUGUCGCGUCGGCUGUGAAAACUCGGGGCUCAACCCCGAGCCUGCAGUCGAUACGGGCAAACUUGAGUGCGGUAGGGGAGACUGGAAUUCCUGGUGUAGCGGUGAAAUGCGCAGAUAUCAGGAGGAACACCGAUUGCGAAGGCAGCUCGCUGGGACGUUACUGACGCUGAGACGCGAAAGCGUGGGGAGCAAACAGG
Molecule: ribosomal RNA, 253 nt
Filed under: uncultured bacterium
Lineage: Bacteria
Description: partial 16S ribosomal RNA
Rfam family: Bacterial small subunit ribosomal RNA
Source: RNAcentral